AGAGCGAACGCUGGCGGCAGGCCUAACACAUGCAAGUCGAACGGACCCUUCGGGGUUAGUGGCGGACGGGUGAGUAACACGUGGGAACGUGCCUUUUGGUUCGGAAUAGCUCCUGGAAACGGGUGGUAAUGCCGAAUGUGCCCUUCGGGGGGAAAGAUUUAUCGCCAUUAGAGCGGCCCGCGCCUGAUUAGCUAGUUGGUGGGGUAAUGGCCCACCAAGGCUACGAUCAGUAGCUGGUCUGAGAGGAUGACCAGCCACAUUGGGACUGAGACACGGCCCAAACUCCUACGGGAGGCAGCAGUGGGGAAUCUUGCGCAAUGGGCGAAAGCCUGACGCAGCCAUGCCGCGUGUAUGAUGAAGGUCUUAGGAUUAGUAAAUACUUUACACGGUGAAGAUAAUGACUGUAGCCGGAGAAGAACGCCCGGCUAACUUCGCGCCAGCAGCCGC
Molecule: ribosomal RNA, 447 nt
Filed under: uncultured soil bacterium
Lineage: Bacteria
Description: bacterial SSU rRNA
Rfam family: Bacterial small subunit ribosomal RNA
Source: RNAcentral